Molecule: long non-coding RNA, 1388 nt
Organism: Ananas comosus (pineapple)
Lineage: Eukaryota; Viridiplantae; Streptophyta; Magnoliopsida; Poales; Bromeliaceae
Exons: 3
Source: RefSeq, a predicted model, not a curated record
UAGAGAGAGAUGAAGCAGCCGCCACCGAGCUCGUUCAUGGCGGAGGCGUCGCAGGUGCAGGGGCAGGGAGGGAUGGGGGAGAUGGAGGAGGAGGAGCAGGUGGGGAUGGAGGUGGACGACGCCGACCCCGUCGACAUCCUCUCCGACUUCGACAAGCACCACCUCCCCCUCGACGCCGACUUCUUCAACUCCUUCCCCGACGAUUUCCACGACGACGACCUCGAUUGAAUUCGAGGGGAGUCAAGUGUGUUCCUUGCCUUGUUAGAGUCGGCAGUAAGCAGCGAGGUGCUCAUUGUAAGAGGUAAAUGGGUUUACAUCUUUUAGAGGUGGGCUCUGUAUUUCCUCCAAAAUAAUGUUUUUAGAUGAACUAUCUAUGUCCAUGUCUGUUGUUAUGACAUACAGAUAUUUCUGGACCUUUGUUAUCAACUCGUAGAGCAGCAAAUAACGGUUCAUUUAGGCUUGGCACUUGUCAUUUUGUAUAAUGCUUGUUCUUUGCACUUGUCUUUCUCAUGGUUUUUACCAUUUCGCAAGGGUGUGGGUGUUGAAUGCAAGGUUGUCACGUUACAUAUUACUUGGUUAUGAUAGAUUGGAUUGAAAUGAGAGGAUGGCUGCAUGCCAUCCAAUCUCUUCUUAUACGAAUCUCUACGAGAUGCCAUCUUGUACAAUGUUUCGCCUGCCUAAUGAAUUGCAAGGACAUGAGGCUCACCCAUAUCGAAAAGGCGAGAUUGUAGGCAUUUUGAUCAAACAUCUUCUGAUUGGUGUCAAAACAACUCCCAAUUUGACCGUACAUAGAGAACUCUUACAAAUUACAGAUGCCUAUGACAUUCCAACAGAAUGCUUUGGCUGGAGAAAUCAGUUAGUAAUAUUUAGCUGCAUCGAAAAGUUAGCUUUAACGCCAGUCUACAGAAAAGGUACAAAAAAGAAAAGCAAGUGGAAAUUACAAGCUACAUGAAACAACCAGAUCACAGUUGUCGCACAGCUGAAAGAUUACAAGCAGUAGUAGGUUGAGCCCUCUUACACAACUCGCCGCAUUUUCUUUUUCAGAGACAUUUCCUUGUAAGAGCUGACCUUCUCGGCGGCCCUGCGCAAGGGCCUUCCAGAUAAAGAUCUCCGGGCCCCUUCAAGAGGGAGUUGCAGAGUCCAGCUGAGUAUGAUUAUCUUUUCGCAGAGGCUCCACGAAAAGAGAGCAAGACGAAACCUCGGUGUCCUCUAUCUUGAACGAGUCCUCCAUCGACUCGUGUGAUUCGGAUUUCAAUUUACUCGAUCUGCUUCUUAAAGACUUUCUGUUCAUGUAAAAAAUUUAUCAAGCUUGGAUGUAUUUCCUUUCCAAAUACAGAAGAGUGAAGAUGGUGUUUUACAUAUAUAACGCUGAAAAUUAUCUAUCAAAA